This 25-nucleotide non-coding RNA is filed under the name Rattus norvegicus (Norway rat). Lineage: Eukaryota; Metazoa; Chordata; Mammalia; Rodentia; Muridae. The record is from RNAcentral.
UGUUGCACAAAGACCGGGAAGCCUG